RNAcentral lists this non-coding RNA (210 nucleotides) under Bacteroidota bacterium. The record is from RNAcentral. Lineage: Bacteria; Pseudomonadati; Bacteroidota.
UAUCUUUGCUGCAGAUUUGGUGUUGCCGAUAUGCAUUAUCGGUAGCUUAAUAGGGAAUCCGGUGCAAGUCCGGAACUAUCCCCGUAGCUGUAAAUCCUAUUUUGUUCAUAAUAGAACAAUGAAAUUUCAGAUAUCACGCCACUGUUUUACGAUGGGAAGGCAUUUGAAAUUAGGAUAAGUCAGAAGACCUGCCAGAUUUAGACAUAUUGA